Molecule: long non-coding RNA, 736 nt
Organism: Brassica oleracea var. oleracea
Lineage: Eukaryota; Viridiplantae; Streptophyta; Magnoliopsida; Brassicales; Brassicaceae
Exons: 3
Source: RefSeq, a predicted model, not a curated record
ACGAGAAACAAGGAGGUCGUCUCUCCUCUUCAUGCGACGGCGACCCAAUACCCUCUGCACUUCUUCUCACCAUUAAAGGCUUCGUCUUGAUCACAAGGCUUCGUGUUUGAUCACAUUGAUUCGCUCUCCCAUUACGUUGCUUUGUUUCGAUCUGAUAAGGGUGAUUUCUGUAUAAAUAUGCGUGAGUAGUCAUCUCCUUGAUCUGAAUUCCGACAAGUUCUCCUCCAUAGUCGAGGCUAGGGAACGUAAAAAGAGACAGCGACAUGCUCCUCCUAUGCUAAGGUUGCAGAGUGAUUGACUGUUGAUGGAAUAUUGGAGAGCUGGGAAAAGACUAAGCGGGUUAUAAUGGAAGCUUGGGAAGAAGAAGAUAAAGAUGCUUAUGGUUGGAUUAAAAAGGACUCGACAACUUGGAUUGGUGACAAUAGGUAUGUCUUCGAGAUCAAUUCCUAAAGGACACAAGUUUUGAGACCUAUAUUGUCAAAACAACAUGUCAUAUAGUCACAGUUUCAUCUUCUCUUGCACUAUACCUUCAUAGAUUUGAUAUAUAUUCUACUAUAUUUGCAUAUUAUAUUGAGGAGUUUCAGAUGCAUUGAAAUUUGCUACCUCUAAGCUUUACAUUGUUACCACACUGUAAUGUAUGAACUCGCUAUUAAUAGCUGAACUUGGUUAGUAUGGGUGAGGAAAUUGCAAGGCCUCUUUGUAUAAGCGUUACUUCGUGAAAUAUCAUGUGUAAUCA